This 2590-nucleotide long non-coding RNA is filed under the name Lepisosteus oculatus (spotted gar). RNAcentral describes it as "lncRNA (ENSLOCG00000021460.1)". The record is from RNAcentral. Lineage: Eukaryota; Metazoa; Chordata; Actinopteri; Semionotiformes; Lepisosteidae.
AUGCAAACUCCUGUUGACGAGCGAGUAUGGACUCUUGCUCCCCCACACAACACGCCUGCCUCCGCCGCCGAGAGCACACACCGACUCAAACGUCACAAGCCGGCGCUGAUUAAGUCUGGAGCUGAGUGUUUUCUACAUCAGGCGUGGGGGAGCUCCAGCCUGCUGUCUCUGACAUCGGCCACCUUUUCCUCAAAACCCUCUCGUGUAGGGGGUGUCCCUCGCUAUUGGUCCUAAAAAGCCACAGUCCUGAUGGUUUUAUAGGGAACUCAACAUCCUCAAAUGCUAAAGACUCAGUGCUGGAAUUAAAACCAAACAGGGCAAUACUGGAAUUAGUGUGGCCUUCCAGGACCAGGAGUGACGAUCACUGAUGUUGGCGAUCAAUAUUGAAUGUAUAAAAAUUAAUAUCUGUUGUAAUCAAAUACCAUUUUAGUGUACUGUGGGUGUCCUUUCCAGCAUUUAGAAUUCAGAGACCUAUGAAAUACUAUUAUAACACAACCUCCUUUUAAAGUUAAUUGUUGUGUUUAAAAUGAUAUUAACUCCUGCCUUUGUUUCCACACUCUGAUUGAAGGGCUGAGAGAUCUUAUCAGUUGAAAGGACUGUAAAUUAAUAAUCUGUGUAUUAUCUGCAUUAGUACUAAAAUUAAAGCUACCUCAAAUAAUCUAUAUUAGUUUUAAUGCAUCACAACUCUAUUGUUGUUUUCAAAAGGUAAAGAUAACAGUAUGUUGACUAAUUAAGAGCUCAUAUGUGUUGGAUUAGGUAAAAAUAGAUGUAUAUUUAGUUUAAAAGGCAAAUGAUUGUGUGUACAGUGGAAAUCUGAACAUAAAAUAUACCAGGCUUAUCUAAAUAUACUGUAUGCAUGUGUCAAACCCAGAACCUUUAGGACAUGAAUUCAGAAUUUGUCCUUGAAGGUUUUCACCUUAAUUUGUGCACCUUAACAUAUUUAAGAUUUUUCUUAGAUAAGGUUAAGGUUUUAGAUCAGGUGUGAGACACUCAUUUUCUGAAAGGGCUGCAGAAUCCUCCACUUUUUCUUCCAAAUUUGGUCUCGUUUGGUCUCAUUAAUUGAUGUGAUAAUUAAGAAAUUGCUUCCCUGUAUCUGCAGUAUACAAAGAACUGGGGAAAUGGGGUUAAACUGAUUAAGUUAAACUACUAAUUAGCUCAAUUAGCUAAGAGCAUGGGAGGAAUGAAACACGACAGCCUCUACGGCUCUCCAAGACAAGAGCAGUUUAUGAAUGAAUUCAGAUCACAAAGACUUACCCAUAUAGCAAAGGGUUAAAACUACAGUUUUGUCAGAUGAGCUUGAUCCACGUUACAGUUGCAAUAAAGCUGCAUCAGGUCUGGCUUGACGUAUUCACUUGUUCCACUUAAAUAAUUACCCGUGUUCCAUCUGCCGACUCUGGUUUUAGACACAAUACCUAAGAAAUGCUCAGAGGCCGGGAUAGACAAAUGUUGCCCUUUGACUCAAAUAAUGCGAUAAAGUAAGAGAGCUACAAUGAGGAUGCAGUCCUGGUAGCCACGGAAAGAGACAUAGCUCACCAAUAGCAUUGACAGUUUUGCCUGAAAGUGAACAAAUAAAAUCUAAAAUAUUAAUCAUCACAAAGAUUACAACUGCCUGUACUUUUGGCUAGGAGUACUGUUGAGGCUAAAAUAAAGGGGGUAAAUACUAAAUAAAGUACCUACUGUUAUUACUGCCACUGCUGCUCUUACUGUGACUAAUACUACUCAUUAAUAGCAUCAGGAGUCACAAGAGACAUCUUAGCCAAUUCUAAUACAGAGGAGCAUACUGGAAAACUAAUAAUCAAUAAGGUACUUGACAGUUGACUAUUCAAGAUAUCUCCCAAGACCAACAAAGAAAAAUGUCUCAUUUGUGAUCUUGGUUCCAGUUUUAGUCAAAUACAUAUAAUAUAAGUGUAUCUUUACUUUCAGACUGACAGAAAGGUGUGGAUUAUAAUGAUCAACCCAGUCUUCCAAAUCGGGGAUGAGUGUCACCAACUGACUACGUUCUCUAGCUGCUUUCCUGCUCUGGUCUCAAUUACUUAAACUGCAAUAUAGUAUCUGUAAAAACUACAGGACUUGCCUCUCCCUGAUAUAAAGCCAUCAGGUCCUCAGGGAAUACAGAGACUGAAUAACCUGCAAUUAAUCUAUUGUAAGAACCUACAAUUAAAGGCAGUUGGUCUAGUUCAGCUAAUUAUUUCACUUGGGUAGCUAAACCCACAAGUGGAUUAAAAACCAGAUGACACUGCAUCCAUAAGACUGGAACUGUGCACUGCUGCUGUAAGUGAACAGCACUUGGUGAGAUAACUGCUUCUUUAGGUCAGGCCAUCCUAAUUCAAGGCCACUGGCAUUAAUUUUAAUUCAGACUGCCAAAGUGCAUUUUAUUUAACUAUUGGAGAAGUGAAAUUCCCCUUAAUAUUCAUACAAGAUAGAAUUUGGAGGCUAUAUUCAGAAAAUACUAACACAGGAGGCGCUUCUGUUAUUUAAGGUGAACAAAACUGGCAAAUGUUCCAAUGCUUUCAUGUUUAUAAAAACGUUUUUAUAUGCUGCGCCAGCCAAAAAUGUGGAGGCAUAAUAAAGAAAGGAUCAUUCUUUUUCC